Molecule: ribosomal RNA, 219 nt
Filed under: Pythium sp.
Lineage: Eukaryota; Oomycota; Peronosporomycetes; Pythiales; Pythiaceae
Description: partial small subunit ribosomal RNA
Rfam family: Eukaryotic small subunit ribosomal RNA
Source: RNAcentral
GCAGCCGCGGUAAUUCCAGCUCCAAUAGCGUAUAUUAAAGUUGUUGCAGUUAAAAAGCUCGUAGUUGGAUUUCUGUUUUGAGGGUUCGGUCGUGUCUCUGACAUGGACUAGAGUCCUUGAAGCAUAUUUUGUGAGGAUCUAUGAAUUCUUGGAUCGCUGAAAGAUGAGCUUAGGCGAAAGCAUUUAUCAUGGAUGUUUUCAUUAAUCAAGAACGAAAGU